Molecule: long non-coding RNA, 2143 nt
Filed under: Citrus sinensis (sweet orange)
Lineage: Eukaryota; Viridiplantae; Streptophyta; Magnoliopsida; Sapindales; Rutaceae
Description: long non-coding RNA (CSIN_LNC001903)
Source: RNAcentral
CUUCUGAUCUCUUGUCUUUGCAUCAAUAUCUUUUCAGGAUUCUUCUGUUAUUGGACAGUUGGGUUGGCCUGAUAUGCGCUUACCAAUCAUUUAUACAAUGUCUUGGCCAGAAAGAAUUUACUGCUCCGAAUUGACGUGGCCUCGCCUUGAUCUUUCCAAGUAACUGGUUUUUUCCCUUGUCAAAAUAUGGUUUUAAACACCUUUUGUCUCCUUUUUAGAAAAUAAAAACUCCUUGUGAUUAUGUUUCAAAAGUAAGUUCUGCUUUACGUACACUGGCAGUAUUACUUUCAAAUGACCCAAAUUCAACCCAAGCAUUUCACAAUCUUCUAUUUAUUGACACUUGUUACUAGAAAUGGUGAGAAACGAAACAGAAAGAAAUAGAAUAAAAGAGCGAAGGAAGCAAGAUAUGUAGUCAAGACAUCAUUCUUUUAUUCAUUCAUGACCUGCCUUUCUCUCUCUCUCUCUAUAUAUAUAUAUAUAUAUAUAUUUAUAUAUUCCUUUCCUAGUGAGGACAUUCUCACUUUGUUAAACUGAGGACGUCACUAAAAUACAAAAAAAUACAGAUUUCAAUACAUUGAAAAAACACAGUUUUUUGUCUGUUGGUGUAUCGAAAUAUGCAUUUUUUUGUUGAGAUAAAUCUAAUUCAUAGAUAAUACAAAUCUUAUUCCAGUAAUGGUCACCUAUGCUUGAAUCUUGGGGAGGUGGAUUUUUGAAAAAAAAAAGAAAAAAAAGGCUUUGCAGCCCUACCUUUAAGGUUAAAAUAGGAGGGAAAAAAAUCAAUAUCCUUACAUUUCUAAAAUAAUAUAUUCUUAGAAGUGGUAUGCCUUAAAAACAUGGAUGGAUUGAAAAGUGAUCCUGUGACCAAUACUUUUAAUUGUUUCAUUUGCAUUAUUCAUGACUGAUGAGCAUGCAAUUAAGGUGAUUUCAAUUAUUUUUAUUUUGUUAUGCCUCCAUUAUUUUAUCUCUGAAACAAAUGUUCUUAGAGAAGACUCUUGUUAUAGGGAUUUUUCAUGUGUGAGGUUAAAACAAUCUUUCUGUGUGUCUUUAUAUCUAUGCUGAGAGUCAUUCUUAGAUGUGUGACUAAAAUUGAAAUGGAUGAUUCAGGCUUGGAUCAUUAACAUUUGUGGCUCCUGACACUGCAAAAUAUCCAUCUGUAAAUCUUGCCUAUGCUGCUGGACGGGCUGGAGGCACCAUGACAGGAGUUCUUAGUGCAGCUAACGAGAAAGCAGUAGAGAUGUUCAUUGAUGAAAAGUAUGUAUCCCUGGUCUUGAUAGAAAAUAUUGCUUUGUUAAGUUUUAAGACAUGAUGAGUUUGUUUCCUGGUUUUCCUUGAAUUUUGUGUGAUUUUAUCGUUCAACAAGGAGCGUGCUAAAGAUCAUCUUAAUAAUGCUUGUAUCCAAGGGGGCAACCCAAUUGGUUUGCCUCUUGCAAUGGAAGCAAGAGGCCAAGGGUCUAACCCCCCACACCUACCUUGAAGGUGGUUUGAUUUGUUUUGGGAUGAUGUGGAGUGAGGGGCAUGGGAACUGAAAAAAGAGGGGGGGGAAAAAAUGGAAAAAUACAAGAACCCAAAAAAAAAAAGGGCUAGAUGGUCGUGAAUUAUGCAGCAUAACUCCCGAAAUUCAUAGUUGAAAUUCGUAGUUGCUUAUUAGUUGGAAAUAACUUUUGACGCUCAUUUUCAUAUUGACUUAGAUUGUCAACUUCUUGAUCUCUAUUAGUUCCUGCCCAUGAAUAGAAAAGAGGGAAACUUUUUCUUGUGCAGUGAAAUGAUCAAAAGUUUAAAUGAUAUCAUUCUAGUAAUUUCCAACUACAGUUCUUCUUUAAGCUUGCUCUAGUACUGCUAGUAUAAUAAAUUGGAGAGCUUAAUAUAUAUUAAUAAUAUAUUCUCUUGCAAAAUAUAUUAAUAAUAUAAUGUCUUCAUGGAUUCAGGAUUGGCUAUCUGGAUAUUUUCAAGGUUGUGGAGCUAACGUGUGAUAAGCACAAGGCGGACUUGGUAACCUCGCCUUCCCUAGAGGAUAUAAUACAUUAUGAUGCAUGGGCACGAGAGUAUGCAGCUGGUUUGCAAUUUUCAUCUGGUAGAAGCCCUGUUCCAGCAUGACUGCUUGCAUUGAUGCCCUACUUUGAGAACUAGAGAGAUGUGUUUACUU